RNAcentral lists this long non-coding RNA (202 nucleotides) under Trifolium pratense (red clover). Its description in RNAcentral is "long non-coding RNA (TPRA_LNC000769)". Lineage: Eukaryota; Viridiplantae; Streptophyta; Magnoliopsida; Fabales; Fabaceae. The record is from RNAcentral.
AAGUUCUUCGUAGGUUACCUCUCCAUCACAAGAUUCUGUAUCAGAUGUAAUAGUACCUGUUAAGACUGAGAUAUGUUUGGCAGUCACAGAUGUUGUAUCAUCUUCUGAGUCAUCAUCAUCAGACCAACUGACAGUUAGUCCUUUCUUCGCUCUUUUCUGAUAUGUUGGACAUUCAGGUCUGAUGUGGCCAUAUCCCUCGCAU